AUAGAUAUAGUCUAACAAAGACCUUAGAUCGUGACUCUAAGAAUGGGGGUUUAAGCCCCCCUGUUUAUC
RNAcentral lists this transfer RNA (69 nucleotides) under Petropedetes sp. MVZ 234827. Its description in RNAcentral is "tRNA-His". It matches the Rfam family "tRNA". From Rfam's summary of the family: Transfer RNA (tRNA) molecules are approximately 80 nucleotides in length. Their secondary structure includes four short double-helical elements and three loops (D, anti-codon, and T loops). Lineage: Eukaryota; Metazoa; Chordata; Amphibia; Anura; Petropedetidae. The record is from RNAcentral.